GAUGAACACUGGCGGCAUGCUUAACACAUGCAAGUCGGACGGGAAGUGGUGUUUCCCGUGGCGGACGGGUGAGUAACGCGUAAGAACCUGCCCUUGGGAGGGGAACAACAGCUGGAAACGGCUGCUAAUACCCCGUAGGCUGAGUAGCAAAAGGAGGAAUCCGCCUGAGGAGGGGCUCGCGUCUGAUUAGCUAGUUGGUGAGGCAAUAGCUUACCAAGGCGAUGAUCAGUAGCUGGUCCGAGAGGAUGAUCAGCCACACUGGGACUGAGACACGCCCCGGACUCCUACGGGAGGCAGCAGUGGGGAAUAUUCCGCAAUGGGCGAAAGGCUGACAGAGCAAUGCCGCGUGGAGGUAGAAGGCCUACGGGUCGUGAACUUCUUGUCCCGGAGAAGAAGCAAUGACGGUAUCUGGAGAAUAAGCAUCGGCUAACUCUGUG
This 437-nucleotide ribosomal RNA is filed under the name uncultured bacterium. RNAcentral's name for it is "partial 16S ribosomal RNA". It matches the Rfam family "Bacterial small subunit ribosomal RNA", at positions 28 to 507 of the family's 1533-position model. The record is from RNAcentral.